AAAUGCUUUGUCUAGAUAAUACAACCAGCAGAAUCUAAUAUGAAUGGAUCCGGCUGGAUUAUCUUUAAAAUAGCCAUGAUGGAUCCAUCAUUAAAACCAUUGUAAGUCAAUGGGUGCAGGAUCCGUUUUCUUUUGUGUCCGAGAUAUC
Long non-coding RNA from Bufo bufo (common toad), 148 nucleotides. RefSeq lists it as uncharacterized. The record is from RefSeq and is a predicted model, not a curated record. The transcript is spliced from 3 exons. NCBI's taxonomy places the organism in Eukaryota, Metazoa, Chordata, Amphibia, Anura, Bufonidae.